UUCUACUCAUAUCUCUCUGUUGAGCCAAAUUGAAGUACUGUGUUUGGAAUUGACAAGAAUAAGCAACUGAACAGCUCAUGCUAGUUAUUGCUGUUUGAAGAGAGAGAGUCCAGGAGAGAGUAGGAUAGCUUAAAAAAGAAGAAGAAGAAGAAGAUGACGACAACAAAGAAGUUCCUUGGGUUCCCAAGAUUAUUUUGUUCAGAGAUGUGUAUAUACAUGUGACCAGAGCAAAGCGUGCUGAGCAGUCAUAAUCUCACUAAGCUGUAAAAGAAGGAUUUAAAAUUCAUGGAAGUCUACUGUUAUUGCAAAGACCAGAAAUUUUGUGGAGGU
Molecule: non-coding RNA, 330 nt
Organism: Python bivittatus (Burmese python)
Lineage: Eukaryota; Metazoa; Chordata; Lepidosauria; Squamata; Pythonidae
Source: RefSeq, a predicted model, not a curated record